GGGCCCGCACAAGCGGUGGAGCAUGUGGUUUAAUUCGAUGAUACGCGAGGAACCUUACCAGGGCUUAAAUGUAGUAUGACCGGCUUGGAAACAGGCCUUCUCUUCGGAGCAGAUUACAAGGUGCUGCAUGGUUGUCGUCAGCUCGUGCCGUGAGGUGUUAGGUUAAGUCCUGCAACGAGCGCAACCCCUAUUCUUAGUUGCCAGCGGUUCGGCCGGGGACUCUAAGAAGACUGCCAGCGCAAGCUGAGAGGAAGGUGGGGAUGACGUCAAAUCAUCACGGCCCUUACGUCCUGGGCUACACACGUGCUACAAUGGCAAGUACAACGAGUCGCAAUACCGCGAGGUGGAGCA
Molecule: ribosomal RNA, 351 nt
Filed under: uncultured bacterium
Lineage: Bacteria
Description: bacterial SSU rRNA
Rfam family: Bacterial small subunit ribosomal RNA
Source: RNAcentral